Unclassified non-coding RNA from Mustela putorius furo (domestic ferret), 333 nucleotides. Its record names the gene 7SK. It matches the Rfam family "7SK RNA". From Rfam's summary of the family: 7SK was discovered as an abundant small nuclear RNA in the mid-70s but a possible function has only recently been suggested. Two independent studies have found that 7SK RNA binds the CDK9/cyclin T complex (known as elongation factor P-TEFb). P-TEFb activates transcription by phosphorylating the C-terminal domain of RNA polymerase II. Lineage: Eukaryota; Metazoa; Chordata; Mammalia; Carnivora; Mustelidae. The record is from Ensembl.
GGAUGUGAGGGCGAUCUGGCUGCGACAUCUGUCACCCCAUUGAUCGCCAGGGUUGAUUCGGCUGAUCUGGCUGGCUAGGCAGGUGUCCCCUUCCUCCCUCACCGCUCCAUGUGCGUCCCUCCCGAAGCUGCGCGCUCGGUCGAAGAGGACGACCUUCCCCGAUAGAGGAGAGGACCGUUCUUCGGUCAAGGGUAUAGGAGUAGCUGCGCUCCCCUGCUAGAACCUCCAAACAAGCUCUCAAGGUCCAUUUGUAGGAGAACGUAGGGUAGUCAAGCUUCCAAGACUCCAGACACAUCCAAAUGAGGCGCUGCACGUGGCAGUCUGCCUUUCUUU